RNAcentral lists this ribosomal RNA (881 nucleotides) under Escherichia coli. Its description in RNAcentral is "partial 23S ribosomal RNA". It matches the Rfam family "Bacterial large subunit ribosomal RNA", at positions 417 to 1299 of the family's 2925-position model. Lineage: Bacteria; Pseudomonadati; Pseudomonadota; Gammaproteobacteria; Enterobacterales; Enterobacteriaceae. The record is from RNAcentral.
GCGGGACACGUGGUAUCCUGUCUGAAUAUGGGGGGACCAUCCUCCAAGGCUAAAUACUCCUGACUGACCGAUAGUGAACCAGUACCGUGAGGGAAAGGCGAAAAGAACCCCGGCGAGGGGAGUGAAAAAGAACCUGAAACCGUGUACGUACAAGCAGUGGGAGCCUCUUAAUGGGGUGACUGCGUACCUUUUGUAUAAUGGGUCAGCGACUUAUAUUCUGUAGCAAGGUUAACCGAAUAGGGGAGCCGAAGGGAAACCGAGUCUUAACUGGGCGUUAAGUUGCAGGGUAUAGACCCGAAACCCGGUGAUCUAGCCAUGGGCAGGUUGAAGGUUGGGUAACACUAACUGGAGGACCGAACCGACUAAUGUUGAAAAAUUAGCGGAUGACUUGUGGCUGGGGGUGAAAGGCCAAUCAAACCGGGAGAUAGCUGGUUCUCCCCGAAAGCUAUUUAGGUAGCGCCUCGUGAAUUCAUCUCCGGGGGUAGAGCACUGUUUCGGCAAGGGGGUCAUCCCGACUUACCAACCCGAUGCAAACUGCGAAUACCGGAGAAUGUUAUCACGGGAGACACACGGCGGGUGCUAACGUCCGUCGUGAAGAGGGAAACAACCCAGACCGCCAGCUAAGGUCCCAAAGUCAUGGUUAAGUGGGAAACGAUGUGGGAAGGCCCAGACAGCCAGGAUGUUGGCUUAGAAGCAGCCAUCAUUUAAAGAAAGCGUAAUAGCUCACUGGUCGAGUCGGCCUGCGCGGAAGAUGUAACGGGGCUAAACCAUGCACCGAAGCUGCGGCAGCGACACUAUGUGUUGUUGGGUAGGGGAGCGUUCUGUAAGCCUGUGAAGGUGGCCUGUGAGGGUUGCUGGAGGUAUCAGAAGUGCGAAUGCUG